GAUGAACGCUGGCGGCGUGCCUAAUACAUGCAAGUCGAGCGAACGGACGAGAAGCUUGCUUCUCUGAUGUUAGCGGCGGACGGGUGAGUAACACGUGGAUAACCUACCUAUAAGACUGGGAUAACUUCGGGAAACCGGAGCUAAUACCGGAUGAUAUUUUGAACCGCAUGGUUCAAAAGUGAAAGACGGUCUUGCUGUCACUUAUAGAUGGAUCCGCGCUGCAUUAGCUAGUUGGUAAGGUAACGGCUUACCAAGGCAACGAUGCAUAGCCGACCUGAGAGGGUGAUCGGCCACACGGGAACUGAGACACGGUCCAGACUCCUGCGGGAGGCAGCAGUAGGGAAUCUUGCGCAAUGGGCGAAGACCUGACGGUGCAACGCCGAGUGAGUGAGGAAGGUCUUCGCAUCAUAAAACUCUGUUAUUAGGGAAGAACAUAGGUGUAAGUACCUGUGCACAUCUUGACGGUACCUAAUCAGAAAGCCACGGCUAACUACGUG
This 497-nucleotide ribosomal RNA is filed under the name uncultured bacterium. RNAcentral's name for it is "partial 16S ribosomal RNA". It matches the Rfam family "Bacterial small subunit ribosomal RNA", at positions 28 to 507 of the family's 1533-position model. The record is from RNAcentral.